This 254-nucleotide long non-coding RNA is filed under the name Lathyrus oleraceus (garden pea). Its description in RNAcentral is "Pisum sativum (pea) long non-coding RNA (PSAT_LNC040169)". The record is from RNAcentral. Lineage: Eukaryota; Viridiplantae; Streptophyta; Magnoliopsida; Fabales; Fabaceae.
UCAAGUAGACGGGUAAUCUCGUCAGGAAUCUCUUCAUCAUCAUCUUCUUCCGCCUUAAAUAUAGGGAAUUCAAAGUUGGGAGAUGGUGUUGGGUCAUUAUGUUCAAUGGGUUUGAUUAUCCUGCAUAAUGAUUUUGGAUAUAAAGAGCUUUUAUUCUAUUAUCCUGCAUAAUGUUCAAUGGGUCAUUAUGUUCAAUGUUCAAUGGAUUUUGAAUUCAAACAAGGCAAAUCAUUAUGCAAAUGAGAAGAUCGAUU